UGCAUGCUUUUACAGUAUGAAAAUUGGUGAUUUAUAAUAACUUACCAAAGGGCAAAGUGAAAACAGGCGAUAAAUCAUUCAAGUUUCUGACCUAUCAGCUUUCGACGGUAUGGUAUUGGCUUACCGUGGCAGUGACGGUUAACGGGGGAUUAGGGUUCGAUUCCGGAGAGGGAGCCUGAGAAACGGCUACCACAUCUAAGGAAGGCAGCAGGCGCGCAAAUUACCCAAUUCUAACAGUUUGAGAGAGGUAGUAACAAGAAAUAACAAUACAAGGCAGUUAAAAUGCUUUGUAAUUGGAAUGAUAGAAAUUUAAACCCUUUUUAAAGUAUCAAUUGGAGGGCAAGUCUGGUGCCAGCAGCCGCGGUAAUUCCAGCUCCAAUAGCGUAUAUUAAAAUUGUUGCAGUUAAAAAGCUCGUAGUUGAAGUUCUGCUAAAAGUAACCGGUCUGCUUUGAAUAAAAGUGGUAUCUUGGUAUGUAUUUAGCAAUGAUGUCCUUUGAAGUGUUUUUUACUUUAUUGUAAUAAAGCAUAUUCAGGACUUUUACUUUGAGAAAAUUAGAGUGUUUCUAGCAGGCCAACGCUUUGAAUACUGCAGCAUGGAAUAAUAAGA
Molecule: ribosomal RNA, 608 nt
Filed under: Hepatozoon canis
Lineage: Eukaryota; Apicomplexa; Hepatozoidae
Description: SSU rRNA
Rfam family: Eukaryotic small subunit ribosomal RNA
Source: RNAcentral